Vault RNA from Esox lucius (northern pike), 98 nucleotides. Its record names the gene Vault. It matches the Rfam family "Vault RNA". From Rfam's summary of the family: This family of RNAs are found as part of the enigmatic vault ribonucleoprotein complex. The complex consists of a major vault protein (MVP), two minor vault proteins (VPARP and TEP1), and several small untranslated RNA molecules. It has been suggested that the vault complex is involved in drug resistance. Lineage: Eukaryota; Metazoa; Chordata; Actinopteri; Esociformes; Esocidae. The record is from Ensembl.
GCGCUGGUUUAGCUCAGUGGGUUACUUCCAUUUGGCGUAAAAAUUAUUUCCUGGUCUGCAGGCCGGAGGUACGACCCCGGGCGCUGUCCGGUGCUUUU